GACGUUACCUACAGAAGAAGCACCGGCUAACUCCGUGCCAGCAGCCGCGGUAAUACGGAGGGUGCGAGCGUUAAUCGGAAUUACUGGGCGUAAAGCGCAUGCAGGUGGUUUGUUAAGUCAGAUGUGAAAGCCCCGGGGCUCAACCUCGGAAUUGCAUUUGAAACUGGCAGACUAGAGUACUGUAGAGGGGGGUAGAAUUUCAGGUGUAGCGGUGAAAUGCGUAGAGAUCUGAAGGAAUACCAGUGGCGAAGGCGGCCCCCUGGACAAAGACUGACGCUCAGAUGCGAAAGCGUAGGGAGCAAACAGGAUUAGAUACCCUGGUAG
RNAcentral lists this ribosomal RNA (324 nucleotides) under uncultured bacterium. RNAcentral's name for it is "bacterial SSU rRNA". It matches the Rfam family "Bacterial small subunit ribosomal RNA", at positions 471 to 793 of the family's 1533-position model. The record is from RNAcentral.